CGGACGGGUGAGUAAUGCUUGGGAAUCUGGCUUAUGGAGGGGGAUAACUACGGGAAACUGUAGCUAAUACCGCGUAAUAUCUUCGGAUUAAAGGGUGGGACUUUCGGGCCACCUGCCAUAAGAUGAGCCCAAGUGGGAUUAGGUAGUUGGUGGGAUAAAGGCCUACCAAGCCGACGAUCUCUAGCUGGUCUGAGAGGAUGACCAGCCACACUGGAACUGAGACACGGUCCAGACUCCUACGGGAGGCAGCAGUGGGGAAUAUUGCACAAUGGGGGGAACCCUGAUGCAGCCAUGCCGCGUGAAUGAAGAAGGCCUUCGGGUUGUAAAGUUCUUUCGGUGAUGAGGAAGGGUAGUGUUUUAAUAGAGCACUACAUUGACGUUAGUCACAGAAGAAGCACCGGCUAACUCCGUGCCAGCAGCCGCGGUAAUACGGAGGGUGCGAGCGUUAAUCGGAAUGACUGGGCGUAAAGGGCACGCAGGCGGUGACUUAAGUGAGAUGUGAAAGCCCCGAGCUUAACUUGGGAAUUGCAUUUCAUACUGGGUUGCUAGAGUAUUUUAGGGAGGGGUAGAAUUCCACGUGUAGCGGUGAAAUGCGUAGAGAUGUGGAGGAAUACCGAAGGCGAAGGCAGCCCCUUGGGAAAAUACUGACGCUCAUGUGCGAAAGCGUGGGGAGCAAACAGGAUUAGAUACCCUGGUAGUCCACGCUGUAAACGCUGUCGAUUUGGGGAUUGGGCUUAGAGCUUGGUGCCCGUAGCUAACGUGAUAAAUCGACCGC
RNAcentral lists this ribosomal RNA (775 nucleotides) under uncultured Actinobacillus sp. RNAcentral's name for it is "bacterial SSU rRNA". It matches the Rfam family "Bacterial small subunit ribosomal RNA", at positions 99 to 872 of the family's 1533-position model. Lineage: Bacteria; Pseudomonadati; Pseudomonadota; Gammaproteobacteria; Pasteurellales; Pasteurellaceae. The record is from RNAcentral.